AGCGAACGUUAGCGGCGGGCCUAACACAUGCAAGUCGGGCGAGAAAGUGGCUUCGGCCAUCAGUAAAGCGGCGGACGGGUGAGUAACACGUAGGUAAUCUUCCCUUGAGCGGGGGACGAACGUUUCGAAGGAACGCUAAUACCGCAUACGUUCCCGGGACGGCUCUGGCCCCUCGGGAGGGAAAGCUAGGUCGCAAGAUCCGGCACUCGAGGAGGAGCCUGCGUCGCAUCAGCUAGUUGGUGGGGAACGGCCUACCAAGGCGAAGACGCGUAGCUGGUCUGAGAGGAUGAUCAGCCACACUGGGACGUGAGACACGGCCCAGACUCCUACGGGAGGCAGCAGUGGGGAAUAUUGGACAAUGGGCGCAAGCCUGAUCCAGCCACGCCGCGUGAGUGAUGAAGGCCUCGGUC
Molecule: ribosomal RNA, 410 nt
Filed under: uncultured bacterium
Lineage: Bacteria
Description: bacterial SSU rRNA
Rfam family: Bacterial small subunit ribosomal RNA
Source: RNAcentral